UCUAGAACUCGAGAUAUGGGCUGAAUACUGAACAAUGUCUAGGCUGCAGGACAGAUUCCGACUUCUUUGUUGUUGCUACAAUUUGAACUUGAAAAUGGUCCUUUUGAAUCUUGGACUUUUCAUGAAAGUUUUAGGCCUAUGUCUUAUCUUUCUAUC
Molecule: non-coding RNA, 156 nt
Organism: Populus trichocarpa (black cottonwood)
Lineage: Eukaryota; Viridiplantae; Streptophyta; Magnoliopsida; Malpighiales; Salicaceae
Source: Rfam